AUCGCACAUGCGCAAAAGCCCUGUUGAUGGCGAAAGGAAGUCCUUAUGCCAGCAGUUUGCGAAUUGGUCGGAAGUUGCAACUAGACACUGCAAGUUGCUAAGCGACCAGUUUUGUAAAUCCGCAACUUGGGUUAGUGGAUGGCAGUUAGCUGUUUUCGCUUGUGAAUUAAUUAGCGUGUUUAAACGUCUGAAAAAAUUCUGAUUGCUGUCAAUUCACGUCCAAGUCCAUCCUCCGUGGAGCUGCUGUCAAGUCGGCCACCUGGUUCCCUCCCUGGCCUGUUUGCAGUCUCGGGUACCUUGAGCCCCCCAGGGGCUCUUUGGGCCUCAAUUUCCUCCUGCAUGAUGUGGAUAAUAAUGCCUAACUUCCAGGGCUGAUCUUAAUUAGGGUCAAGUGAAAUUAACACGUGAACAACUCUUGCGGAAUGUAACGUUCUCUAGAAAUGUUAAGGGACUGUUAUGACUCAUAUACAGGCCCACUCCACAUAUUUCAGAUUGUUGGUGUUUCUUCCCCUUUUAGAAGUGUCUGAAGAAGAAAGAGAAGGAAAGAAGGUGAGGGAGGAAAGAAAAGAGAGACGGAGGAGAGGAAGAAAGAGAAGGGAGGGAAGGACAAAGCACGAGGAAGGGAUAUCGUGAGGCUGUGGUGCAAACACUAGAUCCUCUACUCUGCUCAGUGUAGUCUGCAUAUCUUGACCUCCUCAGGAAGCUUUUGGACCUGUGGGAUCUUUUUAUAAAAUACAGAUUCAGUAGAUCCAAGGUGAGCCCGAGAACCCACAUUUCUACCAAGCUCCCGGCUGAGGUUGCUGGGCCCCAAACUACAGAUAUUUAUGAAUGUUUACAGUUUAUAUUUCCAUUUCUAGUGUGCACAUCAGACCACAUGUGAAGCACUUCACAUGCACCAGUGUAGUGCAUGUACACAGACUCUGGAUUUCUGUUCCAGCGCCACUGCUUAUUAGUUAUGGGACUUGGGAAAGAGUUAAGAAUAUAUGUUCUUUCCACAACAGUAUUUACCAACUAAAACAAAACUAAUGAAAAGCCUCUGGCAAUCACAAAUUCUUCUGAUUUAUUUUUAUAUCCACCCUCCAAAUCUUAAUUUGUUAGGUCACACUCAUGAUGAUGACAGGAAGGCAGAUGUUAGUUAUCAAGUAAAGGCCAACAGCACUAACAUCAUGUAUGUGGACACCAAGUAGCUCAAUGACGGUGCAGUUAAGCCUCCCAGACCUUCGUAUGGUUUGAGCAGUGAGCUCCAAUAUGUAUGGCCAGCAACUGAGAUUGAGGGACUUUAGAUUACACUGAGUAUGUAUUAUUUGUAAUUCAUUAAAGAUUCUGGGCCAUGGAAGUUGGAAGUUAGUCUAUCAC
Non-coding RNA from Microcebus murinus (gray mouse lemur), 1356 nucleotides. The record is from RefSeq and is a predicted model, not a curated record. NCBI's taxonomy places the organism in Eukaryota, Metazoa, Chordata, Mammalia, Primates, Cheirogaleidae.